RNAcentral lists this small nuclear RNA (107 nucleotides) under Chinchilla lanigera (long-tailed chinchilla). Lineage: Eukaryota; Metazoa; Chordata; Mammalia; Rodentia; Chinchillidae. The record is from RNAcentral.
GUGCUCACUUCAGCAGCACAUACACUAAAAUUGGAACGUUACCGAGAAGAUUAGCAUGGCCCCUGCCCAAGGAUGACACGCAAAUUUGUGAAGCGUUCCAUAUGUUU